UACGAAGGGGGCUAGCGUUGUUCGGAAUUACUGGGCGUAAAGCGCACGUAGGCGGAUCUUUAAGUCAGGGGUGAAAUCCUGGAGCUCAACUCCAGAACUGCCUUUGAUACUGGGGAUCUCGAGUCCGGGAGAGGUGAGUGGAACUGCGAGUGUAGAGGUGAAAUUCGUAGAUAUUCGCAAGAACACCAGUGGCGAAGGCGGCUCACUGGCCCGGUACUGACGCUGAGGUGCGAAAGCGUGGGGAGCAAACAGG
This 253-nucleotide ribosomal RNA is filed under the name uncultured bacterium. RNAcentral describes it as "partial 16S ribosomal RNA". It matches the Rfam family "Bacterial small subunit ribosomal RNA", at positions 524 to 776 of the family's 1533-position model. The record is from RNAcentral.